AUUCCACAUAGAUGAAUCCCAACUAAUAAGUACAGAAAGAACAACACAAUUAGAAAAUCACCGUUCUGCAGCCCCUAAUGUGUACUGCAUCCAGGCAAUGACCAUCAAUGAAUAUUGACAGCAAGCUGCAAGGCUGGUGGGGAACCCAGCAGUGGCGGAUCAGGCUGACCCCCUAAGCUCAAUCCUCAGUCUCAGCACCAGUGAAGGAGCGGCCAGACCACACGCCUCAUCAUGCCAUGCGGUGCAACGUGCAGUGCCACCUAGGAAGCUCGCUCGCCUCACAGGAAAAAUAAAUCUGAGUGGAAUCGCACCUCAGACCUACCAGGGCAAAUAUGGGGUUGCAGGUGGGCUCUGCACCAUGCCAGAGGAGGCAGCCAGCCAAAUCCAGAACGCAGGCAUUCCACACAGCCGCUACCCCCAAGAGGCAGACAACCCAGGGCUACAGGUAGGCCUUCGACAUGAAACCGCCCGCAGGAGAAUUUCCACAGGCACGUAGCCAUGCCCUAUAACCUGAAGCUAGGGCGCCGUGGCCUGUUCUCACAGCGCCAUCCCUAGGCUCCAAGAGCCAGCAUCCUGGGAGCUCUGCAGCGCUGUGCUGCUGCCUGUGGCUUGCACACAGAUGUCACAUAACAUCAUUUCCGCUGGAGGCACAUGCCUGCCCAGAUUAAAGGGAGGGUCACGAUCCCCUCCCUGGCGGGAGGUGCAUCAAAGUCACAGCACAAGAGCAUGUGGAACGGGAGAUACAGACCACAGUGAAACGUUAUUUACAUUCACUGCAUUGGCAAACAUUCAGAAUGUUGGUGGACUGUAGAUCAUCCGUGGCGCUAACACGCUGCUGGGGGAUGGGAAUUGGUACCCGCGCUUUGAAACAAAAACUGACAUGGUCCUGAAAGUUCCUGAAAGUUCACCUUUCACAGACUUUAUGAUGCAGCAAUUCCACUUCCUUAAACCAAAAACACCUCAUGUGUGCACCAAAAGAAACACACAGGAAUGUCCACGGAAGCAUCACUCACAAUGGCAAGCGAGCCGCAUGACCCUGCUGGAAAAACAAAUAAAUGAUGCCUAUUCACACACUGGAACACUAUGCAGCCAGGCACACAAACUGCAGCUCUGCCCAGAAACACAUACCAACCUAAGACACCUUGUGUGUGACUAAACAGAACAGGUUUGGGAAGUCUAUGUAGGGACUGAUGUCACUUUCUAAGAGUUCAGAAACAAGCAAUCAUGUGUAAUAAAAUAAAAUUAUUUUAAAGAGAAGAGAUGAGAAAACAAAAUGCAGGAUCACGGUAAAGAAGAGGAAGCACCCACGGCAGCAUGGGUCAUCUCGCUUAGCCUGGUCCUGGGGUCACGGCUGUUCAUGAGAAAGCUAUGCUCCGCAGCUCACGUUACGUACGUGUCAUAUGCUAAUUCUCAUGUCACAACAUUUUAACGAAUAUACUGGGAAGUGCAGCCAAGUACUGCAAGCAGAGGAGCCGGCACACGUGAUCCCAGACCAGGCAGCACUUACAAAGGAUGGCAGGAAGGCCAAGACGUUGUCACGGAGAUGAGGCCCAGCAGGGCAGGAAGGCAUGACCAGCAGGCCUGGCUACAGGCAGCAAGCACCAAACCCCAUUCCAGAUGCCAGGAAAGGCACACACAGGCCUGGCGCAGGUGGGCUGUCUUCUGGCCGCUCCCUGGGUGGACUGGUCUUGGAGACUGGACGGAGUGCUCAAUGUCAGGAGGAAGCCACGACUCACUCACUGGAGAACACGAGAGACAGCCGGCGCCGCCCCGAGGAGUGAGCGGAGGAUCUGCCUGGAGCUAGCCAGCCUCAUGGCCUGGACAGACACCUCAGUGAGCCUGUGAUCAGGGCCCUCGGAGCAGAGCCAGCUGCAGGGAGGCAAGUCAGGAGGCCUUUCCUUGAGGCCAGGAGAGAAGAACAAGCCAGCAGGAGGGCAGGACAGACUCCAGAGACACUCGUUGAGAAAACUGGCUUCAGCUCCAGAGUGGGGGGCAGAGGGGCUGCUCCGCCUGGGCAGCGUGGGGACUGCUGCCGGCCGGGAAGCUGCCAAGAGCCCGGGAGAGGAGGGCAGAGGGCACAGCACUCCUUCUUCAUAGACAGCAGGGACAAAGGUGGAGGGUGACUACGUCACUCUCGAUUCCCCGCCUUUCUGGGAAGGCCUCAUCAUGAAACAUUUUCGGCAUCAUAAUACUGGCUUAUAAAUGUUCGUAUACCCAAUUCCCAAACCAUUGAUUAAUUUAUUAAAGCUAUGAUUUACGUAAGGAUGAGCAUUUAAUUAGAGAAGAGCUUCUACCAUUUCACCAACCCAGGCAGUGGGGAAGGGGUGGAAAGGGGCGGCUGCUGUCCCAGGGGCAGUCCUUGGUGUCCUCCUGGUCCAGGCUUUCUUCCCUCCCUUCACUGGCCUCCAGAGCCAGGUGCUGCGCUGCCUGCACUAGAAGCCCUGCCCUAGGCUGUGCUGAGCAUGCGCACACACCCCCCACAGCAGGGCUCCCGCGUCAGUGGCCUCACUCCACCCUGCUCUCCCAGCGAGCCUGCUGUCCAUAGUCUGGCAGGUCUCCUCUUCACGUUCAGUGACACAACUGCUCGGCGCAUUAUAGAGGCCUCUGAAAGGCUAUGUGUUCACGAUCCUCCCAUGGAGGGGCUCAGAGGAGCGGCCUAAGAGGAGAUGCCUGCACUGUGCAGGAAAGAGGGGCUCCCUGCAGAGCCAGUGCCGUUGGUGGGGCUCAGGCUCCCAGGGUAGGGGCAGGAGUGGUCUCCACAGUGCACAUUUGCACGUAUGUUAGGACGAGGCUAUGGGGCACAGAGGGGCCAUUUGCCCUGCCUGGAGACUGGUCUAGGGUUGCAGGGCCCACAUGUACUGCAUGCCCCCAAAAGGGUCAGGGGAAGGCUUCCUCCAUCCCCUUGGGGCCACAGCCUCCUACUUGCCUAGGGAAACAUGGCUCUUGGAGGCCCAGGGAGGCCACUACCCUGCUGAGCAGGCAGGCCCCAAACUAAGGUGGAGACCACAGCGAUCGCAGCAGGGCAGCAGAAGCUGGUCUCAGGCUGGUGGGUGAAAGCUGAGGUUACUGGCAGUUGCCAUGGCAUGGUGAGAUUGCCAGGAUGAGGGCCCACUUGAAGAACAUGCCUGCACUGCCCUAGAGCUGCAUCUUCCUGGCAGCAGAAUGUCAGGGGAACCAGGCCUCCCCGCUUCAAGUGGGACAAAUGUAUGAGCCUGGGGGGCAGGUGGGGAGGGCCCUGCAGGGUGCCUGGGCAGCCUGUGGAGGAACAGCGGGGAUUCCCUUCGCACCGGGUGUAGCCAGCUGCACGGCAUUAACAGCCACUUGUCCUUCAGAACUUUGCUCUUCAGGUGGGGUCUGGGGUGAGGAAACCCAGUAACCCAGGAUUUGCACAAGGAAAGUAGCUUCCUGUGGCUUGGCUUCUUACGAGUGUCUAAAAGAACCGUCCUGGUACCGCUAGGCCACAAAAUGUUCAGAAAACACUGCAAGAGACACUGGGACACUCUAAAGCCAGGCCCAGAGAAGGAAUGCCGAGGAGAGAGAGGAGGAAUGCCAAAGAGAGGCCCAGCGGGAAGGGGUUCUGCCCAGCACCCUCUGCCUGGUCCCGGGCUCCCUGUGCAGGGAGCUAUGCCAGUGUGCUGAGGGUGUUCGAUGAGGACAGCAGCUCACAAUUGCAGAAGCCACGGACUCCUGGAGAAAUGGACCACGCACCUUCUCCCCAGCAAAGUGUCCUCUCUCCAAAGAGCUUUGAAUCUCAGAGAAUCUGAAGGCCCCCACCACGUGGGGCCCAUCCAGAGCCCUGGCCCAGAGCAGCAGAGGACAGGCUUAUACCCCUGCUCUGGAGUUGUGAAACCGUGGCACCCUGGAGUUGUGAAAUGCCAUCUCAAACUCGGCCAAUGGCCCUUCCAUCCCUGUCCCAGCUCCUACACUAGCUCUUUCCAUUAUAAGGAGGCCGGGAAGUAAUCCAGCUUCACCUGGUAAGUUCGACCUGUGAAAUGUGGGAAGACACAAGUCAGACACAACACCUUCUGUCCACACCGCUGGCACAAGGCUUCCAGUUGGGCAGAGCUGCUAGGGGGCACGGGGACAGAGGUGGAGCUCCUCCAUCCAGCCCCCAAAGGAGCCUGGGCAUGACCGUGGGUACUCAGAGCAGGCUGCCUCCUGAGGGACCAGAAGUCAAGCGUGCGACGGGCUGCGGGGCGGAGAGGCCACUCUGCCUCCAGGGACACACACUCUCCCAGGCCCACUUCCCUGUGGCCAAGGAGGAAAGCCGAGCAGGCACCUUUGAGUUGCACACAACGGACACACAGCACAGAGCCCACCCAGCCUGAGUAUUUACCAUCCGCCUUUCAUGGAAAUGCCGGCACCUGCUCCAGAGGAUACAGGAAUGACAGGGAUGGAGGACGGGAGGGACUCCCAGCCUGCGGGGAGGCUCCUGCAUGUGCCCAGCAGACUUUCAGCAGGGCUGGGCUGCAGGAGUGCCCAGCAUUUCCCAUUUCAGCUCCACUGGAAAGUGCGGCUGGUUCAAGUUGUUGCGAACUGAUCCCACCCAUGUAUACUGGGGUGGGAGGGCAGUGGGCAGCUUCUCGGCUCAGGUUUCCAGAGCACGAGGGGGCAGAUCCAGAGCGAGAGUAACUCACCGUAUUAAGAGUCUGGGCAUUAAGCCUGGUGCCAUGAAGGGACCAGACUUUGGGGCCAUCUUCCUUGGGUAGGGUUUAUUUUGCAUGGGGAAAGCUGGGAAGCAAAUAUUUGUGACCAGAAGGGCAAAUGAUGGUGACUGAAUUACUGCUCAUGCAUAUUCACUGCCUGUCCCUGGGAGAGGCCUACACUUCCCACCCCCUGAAGUCUUGGCCAGUUGGCGUCUCUUGUGGGAAGAAUAACUCCCGUCCUGCGGGUGGUUGUCUGUGCUCUCACUGCUCUGCUCCAACACCAACGACACUCCAGAUGGGGACUGCACUAGUUGCUUGGGAAGGGGUUGAAGACAAGAGCCACAGCUGACACAGGUGAACAGGAAAUAAACUUGUCUAUGUAUCAGCC
Molecule: long non-coding RNA, 5034 nt
Organism: Homo sapiens (human)
Lineage: Eukaryota; Metazoa; Chordata; Mammalia; Primates; Hominidae
Gene: PCBP3-AS1
Product: PCBP3 antisense RNA 1
Source: Ensembl